UCAAAAGUGAAAAAAGAAAACUGUGAGUUUUGAAGUAAAAUGAAUGGUAUUUGAGAUGAUAUAAACUGGCUAAAGCGAUACAAUGAAUCCAAGGGUUGUACUGCAUUGUGUACUGCUAACUGUACUGUGUAUAGGAUCUGUGGACCCAAAAGAGGAAGAGCAGGCUCGAUCUUUAGACGAUGAAUCAUUACAAUCUCAAGUAUUCUCUGCUGCUAGAAAUCUAGGAUAUGGAUUCAG
Eurytemora carolleeae is the source of this 237-nucleotide long non-coding RNA. RefSeq lists it as uncharacterized. The transcript has 3 exons. The record is from RefSeq and is a predicted model, not a curated record. NCBI's taxonomy places the organism in Eukaryota, Metazoa, Arthropoda, Copepoda, Calanoida, Temoridae.